This 527-nucleotide ribosomal RNA is filed under the name uncultured bacterium. RNAcentral describes it as "bacterial SSU rRNA". It matches the Rfam family "Bacterial small subunit ribosomal RNA", at positions 776 to 1301 of the family's 1533-position model. The record is from RNAcentral.
CAAUAGAUACCCGGGUAGUCCACGCCGUAAACGAUGUAUGCUAGCUGUCGGGAGUCUUAGGCUCUCGGUGGCGGACCUAACGGAUUAAGCAUACCGCCUGGGGAGUACGGUCGCAAGAUUAAAACUCAAAGGAAUUGACGGGGACCCGCACAAGCGGUGGAGCAUGUUGUUUAAUUCGAAGCAACGCGAAGAACCUUACCUACGCUUGACAUACCAGUUUUGGAUUUCAGAGAUGAUUUCCUUCGGUUCGGCCGGGCUGGAUACAGGUGCUGCAUGGCUGUCGUCAGCUCGUGUCGUGAGAUGUUGGGUUAAGUCCCGCAACGAGCGCAACCCUUAUCGUCUGUUGCCAGCAUUAAGUUGGGCACUCUGACGAGACUGCCGGUGAUAAGCCGGAGGAAGGUGGGGACGACGUCAAGUCAUCAUGGCCCUUACGCGUAGGGCUACAAACGUGCUACAAUGGCUGUGACAGUGGGCAGCAAUACCGCAAGGUGGAGCAAAUCCCAAAAAGCAGUCUCAGUUCGGAUUGU